AUACAGCAGUCGGCUUAACAGGCAGCUCUCUUUUAACACAGACUUUUAAGAAGGGAUGGAUAUUUGCGUCAAGUGAUAGGCCAGGUUGGACAUUUCAAGUGGACAACCUCUGACGCUUAAUCUGCUCAUGUGGAAAAAGGAGUUUUGUGAGGGAUGACAAGCCCACAAUGUUCUCAGGAGAUGAAAAAACAGAUGGCCACCCUCAGCAAGACAUGAACAGAGGAGAUUUGAAAACAUCUUGGGGCCCAGCAGCUAGUAGGUUCUCAGUCUGCGGAGCUUCCACAACAAUCACAAAUAGCAGAGUUGUGCUGCAUAAAUAGCUUUUAGACAAAAUACCUAAUGUCCAAAAUGCAUAAACUACUGUUAUUCAGUGAGUUUUUCUACAACAAGACAGAAAAUGUUCAGAUUUACAUAGUUUAGGUGGUUUUGAACAUGG
Molecule: long non-coding RNA, 436 nt
Organism: Cyprinus carpio carpio
Lineage: Eukaryota; Metazoa; Chordata; Actinopteri; Cypriniformes; Cyprinidae
Source: Ensembl